UUAGGUCUUCUCUCCAAUCCAACACAUUCUUUUCAUAAUCACAUUUUACAAAUCAGAGUAAAGGGUUUGCCUCCAUUACCAACUACAAAAGAAGAGGUUUUGAUAUCACAAAAGCAUGCAAGGUUGUCUAAUUCUAUAUACAGAUCUUGUAAAUCUUAUGAUUUAUUCAUUGUAGACUACAUAUUCAAUCAGUUUUUCGCAAAUUUAGAAACACCCAGAAUCAAAAGAUCAUUCUAACACAGAAUAAUCCAUAGCAUAAACUCAUGGUUGAAUAGUAGAAGGCAAGCUACAAGUAAUCCAAGAAAAAUGGGAGCAAGUUCUAAUGCAGUUUCAUCCCUUUAGGGAGCCUACUUGAAGGAACAACAAUUCCUGGAUCAAGAGAAGGAAGACAAUGAGAUUGGGUUGGGCAACAGAGCUCUAGGUUUGUGACAAAACCAGACCCCAAGGCUUGAGUAUAUCAUUAGAUUUUGGGGAUCAAUGAGGAGAUACAUAUCAAGCUAAAUACUGAACUGGGGUUCCUUGAAGAAGGGGCUUAAAGAAAGUGAUGGCAUUAAAUCAAGUGUGCAGAAAACUACAGACAUUCUCUGAUUGCUAAGGUAAUCAACUCUUGUUAAGCUGUGGAUGUAGAACUCCAUCUCCUACAACCAAAAGGGUGGAGGGUGAGAUGAGGUGCAGCGUAGUCUGGUCAAAUCUGUUCUGGGUGCAGAGGGCCAUAUUUUCUACUCUUUUUUAAGUCCUAGCAGCUCUUCCUUCUAAUUCACUGCCGGAAUCCAUCAGAGCUCAAAUAACCCCAGUCCACUCUAGCUUCCAACUCUCUUCAGCAUUCAGCUUGGCAAAACCCCGCUCUAGCACUACUCUUAGAACAGUGUUCCAACUUAGAAAUAUGUAGUAGACCUUGUCUCCUAAGGUCAUCGCCAACCUUUCACGUUGUUUCUGCCUCAGAGACCACUCACAUAUCACAAGAAGAUAAGAAAAUGGGAUAUCAAGUAGAGUUACUUCUAAGGGAGAUAAAAUUUAAAACUAGAAAAUCAAGUCCACCUUCUUUCAUAUAAAUACCGAUAUUUGGCAUCCCAUUUUAUAAAAGAAAAAAAAAAUCAGUCCAAUUUUUUCCUUUCACUUACUAUUUUCACAUUUCAAAGUAACUAAGAAAAUCAGCUGCAUACCAUCAAACAGCUUUGCAUUGCAUUGUACCUAAAAACUGCACUUCCAUCUAUCAACUCAGUUUCAUUGAUGCAAACUUUGUUGCCACAUCCAUGGCCUCCUUCACGAGUGAUUGAUGAGGAUGAAUCUUCAAGAUAUAUAUCAAGAAAUGGAAUUAGUAUUAGUUGUAAUUAAAGUAGG
RNAcentral lists this long non-coding RNA (1341 nucleotides) under Vitis vinifera (wine grape). RNAcentral's name for it is "long non-coding RNA (VVIN_LNC005271)". The record is from RNAcentral. Lineage: Eukaryota; Viridiplantae; Streptophyta; Magnoliopsida; Vitales; Vitaceae.